RNAcentral lists this long non-coding RNA (1342 nucleotides) under Sinocyclocheilus anshuiensis. Its description in RNAcentral is "lncRNA (ENSSANG00000043402.1)". Lineage: Eukaryota; Metazoa; Chordata; Actinopteri; Cypriniformes; Cyprinidae. The record is from RNAcentral.
CCAAAUUUAAAGACCUGCCAAGGACCAGAUGAUUUAUUUAAUUUUUAAUGCCUUGAUAAAGAAAACCAUGGAAUUCAAUAGGAUGUCCUUUGUUUUUCACGACUGUGUAUAGGCCUACAUACAGACAAAUAAGGAACUAAAACAUGACAACUCAUCACAAACAACUGAUCAGUUUCACUCACUCAAUAUAGGAUACAAGACCUUCUCUCAGUCAUUGAAAAACAGAACAAACACAUUUCUAGUGGUUGACCAAAUUUUAUUUUUUUUCCAAACUUAUAUUCCGCUGAGUAUGUGUAUAUUUCCUUCUGUCAUGAGAGAGCUGCUGUUGCAAAGCUGUUGAUUUAUUGAUGGUAAGGUGCUGAAAACAACCUGCCAAUCAAAGUACAAAGCCACGCCUCCUUAGAUCUGAUGGGCGGGAACCAUUGUGUGUCUAUAAACUCUCAAAUCCUCAUUCUGAAGCUCAGAUCACACAGCAACAGCAGAGAUGUCAGAUCUGCAGCGCAUGUUUCCUCUCUUCAGCUCAUCACAAGAUACAGACGGAGUUUAGACAUGAAAUAACAUACAGACAUAUUCUACAGCAACAGAAACCACAGACGAGCAAAAACCAACAGGACAGAGAGAAAAAUGGAGGCCAGAAAUGAAACACAAACCAAUGAAUCACAAGAGAAAAGCAGAAAGAGACUUAUUAAACAGAAAAGUAUGGAGAAAAUAAAACCAAAGUUCUCAGAUGAUCCAGACGGACCUGCAGCAUGUUCUGAAGAACACACAACAUCAGUGACCCCCAGAUACCAGCAGCUGAAGACCUGAUCAUCAUCAUCAUCAUCAUCACAGACUCCAUCACUCCAGGCUACAGUCUGUUCAGAUCCUGGACUUCUUCAGAUUUUACAGACUCAUCCAAAACACAAACUAACAGACUGAUGAACGGUUUCUUUCUCAGAUCUGUGUCUCAAUACUGCACAGCUGCUGCACUUUACUGACAACAUUCUGCACAUCACAGUUUCCCUGAAUUUCAUAGUAAAUACAUGCACAAGGAUUCAAUAUAUGUAGCCUAUAAUAUUUGUCUAAAGACAUAGAGACACCCUGGACAGACGGCUGGUCCAUCACAAAGCAACACGCAUUCAUUCAAACAAACAUCUCAGUGUCUUCAGUUUGAAAAAAGAAAAAAUGAGAAGAAAUGUAUUUCGUGUUAAACAGGUUGUGCUUGAAAUAAAGCUGCUCUUAAUGUUUUUUUUUUUGAUGACUGCAGUAUGUAUAUAUAUAUAUAUUUUUUUUUUUUUAUAGGCCAAUAAUUCAUUGUACAAUAGAUGUGUUUUAAAAGACCUUUUUUUAAAAACAUUUUCAA